UACAUAGGGUGCAAGCGUUGUCCGGAUUUACUGGGCGUAAAGCGUGUGUAGGUGGCACUUCAAGUCAAACUUUAAAGACUGAGGCUCAACUUCGGUUUGGGUUUGAUACUGUCGUGCUAGAGGCUGGGAGAGGAAAGCGGAACUAACAGUGUAGCGGUGAAAUGCGUAGAUAUUGUUAGGAACACCCGUGGCGAAGGCGGCUUUCUGGACCAGUUCUGACACUAGAACACGAGAGCGUGGGGAGC
This 245-nucleotide ribosomal RNA is filed under the name uncultured bacterium. Its description in RNAcentral is "partial 16S ribosomal RNA". It matches the Rfam family "Bacterial small subunit ribosomal RNA", at positions 524 to 769 of the family's 1533-position model. The record is from RNAcentral.